CGGAUUGAAGGCUGAAAUUCGCCUUCCAUGAAGCUGGAAUUGCUGUAAUGGCAGGUCAGCAUACUGCCGUGAAUGCGUUCCCGGGCCUUGUACACACCGCCCGUCACACCAUGAGAGUUGGAAAUACCCGAAGCCUGUGAGCUAACUUAAAGAGGCAGCAGUCGAAGGUAGAGCCGAUGAUUGGGGUGAAGUCGUAACAAGGUAUC
This 206-nucleotide ribosomal RNA is filed under the name uncultured bacterium. RNAcentral's name for it is "partial 16S ribosomal RNA". It matches the Rfam family "Bacterial small subunit ribosomal RNA", at positions 1294 to 1500 of the family's 1533-position model. The record is from RNAcentral.